RNAcentral lists this ribosomal RNA (492 nucleotides) under uncultured Desulfobulbus sp. Its description in RNAcentral is "bacterial SSU rRNA". It matches the Rfam family "Bacterial small subunit ribosomal RNA", at positions 894 to 1382 of the family's 1533-position model. Lineage: Bacteria; Pseudomonadati; Thermodesulfobacteriota; Desulfobulbia; Desulfobulbales; Desulfobulbaceae. The record is from RNAcentral.
AGAAACUACAAAGGAAGUGACGGGGCCCGCACAAGCGGUGGAGUAUGUGGUUUAAUUCGAUGCAACGCGAAGAACCUUACCUGGUCUUGACAUCCCGGAGACCCUUAGGAAACUAGGGGUGCUUCCAUCUGGAAGAAUCUGGAGACAGGUGCUGCAUGGCUGUCGUCAGCUCGUGUCGUGAGAUGUUGGGUUAAGUCCCGCAACGAGCGCAACCCUUGCCUUUAGUUGCCAGCAGUUCGGCUGGGCACUCUAAAGGGACUGCCGGUGUUAAACCGGAGGAAGGUGGGGAUGACGUCAAGUCCUCAUGGCCUUUAUGACCAGGGCUACACACGUACUACAAUGGCCGAUACAAAGGGCAGCGACACUGCGAGGUGAAGCCAAUCCCGUAAAAUCGGUCUCAGUCCGGAUUGGAGUCUGCAACUCGACUCCAUGAAGUUGGAAUCGCUAGUAAUCGUGGAUCAGCAUGCCACGGUGAAUACGUUCCCGGGCCUU